GUGGGGAAUAUUGGACAAUGGGCGAAAGCCUGAUCCAGCCAUGCCGCGUGUGUGAAGAAGGUCUUCGGAUUGUAAAGCACUUUAAGUUGGGAGGAAGGGCAGUAAGUUAAUACCUUGCUGUUUUGACGUUACCGACAGAAUAAGCACCGGCUAACUUCGUGCCAGCAGCCGCGGUAAUACGAAGGGUGCAAGCGUUAAUCGGAAUUACUGGGCGUAAAGCGCGCGUAGGUGGUUUUGUAAGUUGGAGGUGAAAUCCCCGGGCUCAACCUGGGAACUGCCUCCAAAAGUGCAUGACUAGAGUACGGUAGAGGGUAGUGGAAUUUCCUGUGUAGCGGUGAAAUGCGUAGAUAUAGGAAGGAACACCAGUGGCGAAGGCGACUACCUGGACUGAUACUGACACUGAGGUGCGAAAGCGUGGGGAGCAAACAGGAUUAGAUACCCGGGUAGUCC
RNAcentral lists this ribosomal RNA (450 nucleotides) under uncultured bacterium. Its description in RNAcentral is "bacterial SSU rRNA". It matches the Rfam family "Bacterial small subunit ribosomal RNA", at positions 354 to 796 of the family's 1533-position model. The record is from RNAcentral.